GCCUACGGGAGGCAGCAGUAGGGAAUCUUCCACAAUGGGCGAAAGCCUGAUGGAGCAACGCCGCGUGGGUGAAGAAGGUCUUCGGAUCGUAAAACCCUGUUGUUAGAGAGGAAAGUGCGUGAGAGUAACUGUUCACGUUUCGACGGUAUCUAACCAGAAAGCCACGGCUAACUACGUGCCAGCAGCCGCGGUAAUACGUAGGUGGCAAGCGUUAUCCGGAUUUAUUGGGCAUAAAGGGAACGCAGGCGGUCUUUUAAGUCUGAUGUGAAAGCCUUCGGCUUAACCGGAGUAGUGCAUUGGAAACU
RNAcentral lists this ribosomal RNA (305 nucleotides) under uncultured bacterium. RNAcentral describes it as "bacterial SSU rRNA". It matches the Rfam family "Bacterial small subunit ribosomal RNA", at positions 337 to 634 of the family's 1533-position model. The record is from RNAcentral.